This 253-nucleotide ribosomal RNA is filed under the name uncultured bacterium. RNAcentral's name for it is "partial 16S ribosomal RNA". It matches the Rfam family "Bacterial small subunit ribosomal RNA", at positions 524 to 776 of the family's 1533-position model. The record is from RNAcentral.
UACGGAGGGUGCAAGCGUUAAUCGGAAUUACUGGGCGUAAAGGGUGCGUAGGUGGUUAGAUAAGUUAGCUGUGAAAUCCCUGGGCUUAACCUGGGCAUGUCAUCUAAGACUGUUUGACUGGAGUAUGGGAGAGGGUAGUGGAAUUUCCGGUGUAGCAGUGAAAUGCGUAGAGAUCGGAAGGAACACCAGUGGCGAAGGCGGCUACCUGGCCUAAUACUGACACUGAGGCACGAAAGCGUGGGGAGCAAACAGG